Molecule: long non-coding RNA, 2031 nt
Organism: Peromyscus californicus insignis
Lineage: Eukaryota; Metazoa; Chordata; Mammalia; Rodentia; Cricetidae
Exons: 3
Source: RefSeq, a predicted model, not a curated record
UGCGCUGUACGGAGCGGGACACGCGUACUCGGGGGUCCCUGUGAGCCCGGCGACUAGUCGAGGGCGGCGGUCCCGGGGAGGCCCUGGAGAUGUCCAGCCCAGGAAGAAGCCGGGAGGGGCGGGUCCUUCUCCUCCGCCGCCUGCUUCUUUUCCUCCCUUUUCCUCUGCUUCCUCCUCCCUCUUUUUUCUCCUCCUCUCCUUCCGCUCGUCGUGCCUGGCCUCCUCCUCUCCCCACCUUCCUCCUCCCACUCCCGCUUCCCUGUUCACACUUUGCUCUUUCUGGGAUGGAAGUUCUGUCCCGGAGGAACCAGGCACCGGUCUCCCGACGCCACCCUCCUUAGCAGGUCUACCUCCAAAGGCAGAAGGAGGAAAGUCACCAUGUGUCACAGUCCUUGCUUCACUAUCUUUGGAGCAUCCACAGCAGCCCCAGCAUCUCUCACUGAACCUGGAACUUAGCAAUUAGCCUGACUGGCAGGCUAGUGAACCCUGGGUAUCCACCUACCUCUGCCUUCCUAGUGCUGGGAUUGCAAGUGGCCACCACCAUGCCCAGCUGUUUAGGGGAAAUGAACUCUAGUCCUCAGGAUUGCCAGGUAAGUAUUUUACCACCUGACUCACCCACUAGCCUCUGUUUGACAAUGAUUAGUUGAAUUGUUCAAAUAUCUAGUAGAGAAGAUUUGAAUGUCCCAAACAAAAAACAUGACAUGUAUCUGAAGUGAUGAUGGACAUGUCGGUUACCUUGGCCUGAUCAUGACACAUUAUACACAUGCAUUGGAAUGUCUGUUACAAAGCCCCUGUGUCAUCCCUUCAUAAGUAUGUUUCACCAGACAUUUGAAACUAAAUGGUCAACCUCAGCUUAGGAUAACAUUGCUUAUUAUAUACAAUAAUUCCUUUUAAUGUUUUCUUGGUCUCAGAAGUGCUCAAUAAAUAUUUGUUGAUAAAAUAGGUUGCAGGUUGAUAAAAUAGAGGCAUCAAUAGAACUAGAAAUUCAGCGCCAUCCCCUGCCACAUAGUGAGUUUGAAGCCAAUCUGAACUCCAAAUAGCUCAGUAAGGGCUAUCUCAUGAGAAAAUAAUAAAGUAUGCCACCAUACCCUUUGGCCCCUUUUGAUAUAGUUUGCUGGAUGCUUUGUUGUGGAGACAGGAUCACAUUAUGCAGCUCUGGCUGGCCUGGAACUCACAGAAGACUACUUGCCUUUGCCUCACAACACUUUGAUGCCAAGUUCUGGUAUUAAAGGCAUGUGCCACCAUGCAAGGCAUGGAGUACAUCAUGAGAGAGCCCCACCACCAAUGAAAGAGCCUCAUUGAAUGUUUAUACAUUUAACCUGCCUGGACACACAGAGAGUGUGAUUCCUGGAAAGACUCCAAGUAUUCACUCCAAAUGUUUUUUUUUUUAAUUUCUGAUUAAUACAACUGAGGACUAAAGCUACCACCUUUUACAAGAAAGAUACAUUAGUUCAAUAAACUAGGCAUGGCAAUUCAUGCCUACCAUCCCUUGAUCUGGGAAACCAAGGCAAGAGGAUUGCUACAAAUUUGGGGCCAGCCUGGGAAAUAUAGUGAGUGCCAAAUCAGCUUGGGCUACAUAUUAGGAAACUGUCUCAAACAAACAAACAAACAAAGCAACCAGAUUGAAGCAAUAAGAGCAGAAAGCAUCCAAGAUUAUUAAAACCUCUCCCAAUGCUAGCAGUUAGCAUGGCGAAAGUCGCUACUCUUGCGUCCCGUGUCUGAGAGAGUCUAUAAACAGAAGUAUAUGGCAUGGCUCCUGCUCACCGUCCCUUUUGAAAAGGUGGUUGGGUGUCCCUGGAGGCACUGUCUGAACGGCUGGAGGUUUGCCCACAUACACAGGCUUAAGAACCUAGAUAGUGGGCAAGCCUCAUGGGCCCCUGGGCUCUGCCUUCUGAGGAUUUCUGCUAGCAGGUGAGUGAUACCUCAUAGAAAGACCUGGACUUUACUGACUUAGAUGGGAACAAACAGGAAUUCCUGUCUGAACUUGUACUGCAGAAGGUAAUUGGCAUUCCUCCCCCCCCUUAAUGUGUG